This 454-nucleotide long non-coding RNA is filed under the name Lynx pardinus (Iberian lynx). Lineage: Eukaryota; Metazoa; Chordata; Mammalia; Carnivora; Felidae. The record is from RNAcentral.
CUAGGACAGCCAUGAGAUUUCUAGCAGACAGGAGUUUAUGCUCCUUUAACCUAUUUAUUUAUAGAACGACAAGAAGGACAUGUGGAUUCCAAGGAUCAGUAAGAUAUAUUUCUAACAUACAGUUAGAGCAAAUUUGUUGGCUAAAAUUAAUUGUGACAUACUGGGGAGCUUUGAGGACCAUCAGUAAAACUAAACUAAACCUUUAUAUAUGCAAAUGAGGUAAUUUAUAUGAAAACACUGUAGAAACAUGAGCACAUGCCUAGUUGUAAGGGCCUGGGCCAAAACAAAGAUAGGUUCAAAUCUUGACUUUAAUUAACUUUCUGAACUAGACUCUUCAUCUAUAAAAUGAAGACAAUAAUACUUCCUUAAUACAGUGUGCCAACCCAUGGUGAUAAAAUAACCAUAAUGUUGUAGAUAAAGACAAAAGAACCAUAAGUGUUGCUUCUUACAUAAU